GCGAGUCUUUGUAGUAAUACAAGGCAUACGGCUCAGUAACGCGUAGUCAACCUACCCUAUGGACAAGAAUAAUCUCGGGAAACUGAGCAUAAUUCUUGAUAGAUCAUAAUGCCUGGAAUGGUUUAUGGUUGAAAUGAUUCGUCGCCAUAGGAUGGGACUGCGGCCUAUCAGCUUGUUGGUGAGGUAAUGGCCCACCAAGGCGAUUACAGGUACGGGCUCUGAGAGGAGAAGCCCGGAGAUGGGUACUGAGACAAGGACCCAGGCCCUAUGGGGCGCAGCAGGCGAGAAAACUUUGCAAUGUGCGAAAGCACGACAAGGUUAAUCCGAGUGAUUUCUGCUAAAGAAAUCUUUUGCAAGUCAUAGAACCACUAGUGAAUAAGGGGUGGGCAAGUUCUGGUGUCAGCCGCCGCGGUAAAACCAGCACCUCAAGUGGUCAGGAGGAUUAUUGGGCCUAAAGCAUCCGUAGCCGGCUCUGUAAGUUUUCGGUUAAAUCCAUGUGCUCAACGCAUGGGCUGCCGAAAAUACUGCAUAGCUAGGGAGUGGGAGAGGUAGACGGUACUCGGUAGGAAGGGGUAAAAUCCUUUGAUCUAUCGAUGACCACCUGUGGCGAAGGCGGUCUACCAGAACACGUUCGACGGUGAGGGAUGAAAGCUGGGGGAGCAAACCGGAUUAGAUACCCGGGUAGUCCCAGCUGUAAACGAUGCAGACUCGAUGAUGCAUUGGCAUAUAGCCAGUGCAGUGUCGCAGGGAAGCCGUUAAGUCUGCCGCCUGGGAA
RNAcentral lists this ribosomal RNA (775 nucleotides) under uncultured archaeon. RNAcentral describes it as "bacterial SSU rRNA". It matches the Rfam family "Archaeal small subunit ribosomal RNA", at positions 53 to 834 of the family's 1478-position model. The record is from RNAcentral.